Molecule: ribosomal RNA, 193 nt
Filed under: uncultured Herbaspirillum sp.
Lineage: Bacteria; Pseudomonadati; Pseudomonadota; Betaproteobacteria; Burkholderiales; Oxalobacteraceae
Description: partial 16S ribosomal RNA
Rfam family: Bacterial small subunit ribosomal RNA
Source: RNAcentral
CCUACGGGAGGCAGCAGUGGGGAAUUUUGGACAAUGGGGGCAACCCUGAUCCAGCAAUGCCGCGUGAGUGAAGAAGGCCUUCGGGUUGUAAAGCUCUUUUGUCAGGGAAGAAACGGUUUUGGCUAAUAUCCAGAACUAAUGACGGUACCUGAAGAAUAAGCACCGGCUAACUACGUGCCAGCAGCCGCGGUAA